This 173-nucleotide unclassified non-coding RNA is filed under the name rhizosphere metagenome. RNAcentral describes it as "partial ribosomal RNA internal transcribed spacer region". The record is from RNAcentral.
GUAGGUGAACCUGCGGAAGGAUCAUCAACAACAAAUCUAAGAGUGGACGCAAGUCUACUUUAACCAAUGUGAAUUGUAGUAUGAAAAUACUAUGAAUAUAUACUAGAGUUUUUAGAGUCUGUAUUAAAAUGAAUAAUUUUAAACAACUUUUAACAAUGGAUCUCUUGGCUCUU